GAUGAACGCUGGCGGCGUGCCUAAUACAUGCAAGUCGAGCGAACAGACGAGGAGCUUGCUCCUCUGACGUUAGCGGCGGACGGGUGAGUAACACGUGGAUAACCUACCUAUAAGACUGGGAUAACUUCGGGAAACCGGAGCUAAUACCGGAUAAUAUAUUGAACCGCAUGGUUCAAUAGUGAAAUACGGUUUUGCUGUCACUUAUAGAUGGAUCCGCGCCGCAUUAGCUAGUUGGUAAGGUAACGGCUUACCAAGGCAACGAUGCGUAGCCGACCUGAUAGGGUGAUCGGCCACACUGGAACUGAAACACGGUCCAGACUCCUACGGGAGGCAGCAGUAGGCAAUCUUCCGCAAUGGGCGAAAGCCUGACGGAGCAACGCCGCGUGAGUGAUGAAGGUCUUCGGAUCGUAAAACUCUGUUAUUAGGGAAGAACAAAUGUGUAAGUAACUAUGCACGUCUUGACGGUACCUAAUCAGAAAGCCACGGCUAACUACGUG
RNAcentral lists this ribosomal RNA (497 nucleotides) under uncultured bacterium. Its description in RNAcentral is "partial 16S ribosomal RNA". It matches the Rfam family "Bacterial small subunit ribosomal RNA", at positions 28 to 507 of the family's 1533-position model. The record is from RNAcentral.